Molecule: unclassified non-coding RNA, 1947 nt
Filed under: uncultured fungus
Lineage: Eukaryota; Fungi
Description: sequence contains 18S rRNA gene, ITS1, 5.8S rRNA gene, ITS2, 28S rRNA gene
Rfam family: Eukaryotic large subunit ribosomal RNA (bases 802-1947)
Source: RNAcentral
GGAAGGAUCAUUAACGUGCUUUAAUUUUCUUUACAUCGACUGUGGAAACACCAAAAAAAACUAUCUGUUUUUCUCUCUCGAGCUUGCAAAAGCGCGAGUAGAGUCAACUAUCACCUAAUAUAACCCCAUUCUUUUCUAAAAACCAAUUCGUUUUGUGGAGCUCACAUGUGCGUCAAAACACAUUGUGUUUCUCAAAGCAAAUACAAACUGACGACUUUCAACGGUGGAUCUCUAGGCUCGUGUACCGAUGAAGAACGCUGCAAACUGCGAUACUUAAUGUGAAUUGCACAACUCAGUGAAUCAUCGAAUCUUUGAACGCAUAUUGCGCUGCGACAGUUAAUGCCGCAGCAUACCUGGUCGAGUGUCGUUUCCAAAUCUCACAAACCCAAUUUUCCAUGAUUGGUUGUGUGCUAUUAUAGAAACACUUGAGAGUCAUACUAUGUGUGUAAUAAUACGUGGUACGUCUCUUUAAAUCAUGUAUAAAACUACUUUUUUGUAUUUGCAUUAAUGCAAAUCAUUUGUGGGGAUGCAAAAGCCCUUGUAAAAGGGCUGGCGUAUCACAUCAGUCGCAUGAAUCACUCAAAGAGAUUCAUAUGCGUUUCUGAGUCCCAUGUUGGUAAACCCCUCAUGGUCAAACUCUUAAACUUCAUGUCAUAUGUGUCAAUAAAUUUGUGUGCCCGCUUCUUCUGAUGGAACCUAAAAUGACUUGUACUUUUUGUUCUUCCAAAAAUAGUAAUACUAUACACCUGAUAAACACUUGAAAAACCAAAAAAAGACCCUUAAAAAAGGCCUUUUUUGGACAGACCUCGGCUCAGGUAAGGCUACCCGCUGAAUUUAAGCAUAUAAUUAAGCGGAGGAAAAGAAACUAACAAGGAUUCCCCUAGUAACGGCGAGUGAAGAGGGAAAAGCUCAAGCUUAAAACCUGUGCCCAUUUCGGGUACCGGAUUGUAGCCUAUAGAAGGAGUGUCCUGGCAGUCGGCGACCAAAAUGCUUAGGAAUAAGCUGCCAAAGAGGGUGAGAGCCCCGUUCAUGGUUGCCGGUCCUGUCUUUUGUGAUACCCUUUCAUCGAGUCAGGUUGCUUGAGAGUGCAGCCUAAAGUGGGUGGUAUACUUCAUCUAAAGCUAAAUAUUGACACGAGACCGAUAGCGAACAAGUACCGUGAGGGAAAGAUGAAAAGAACUUUGAAGAGAGAGUUAAAAAGUGCGUGAAACCGUUGAAAGGGAAGCUGAUGGGUGCAGUGUCUCGUACAGUUGUCAUCUUAGCCUGAAUCUGUCAAAGGCAGUAGCAAGUCAGUGUCAAAGCGGCUUGUUAUUGUUCAGAGGCAGAGACGGGUGCACUAUGGCGACUGGGGCCUCUGGAUGCGUUUGGUGGGCAGGAUAAAACCGCAUUUUGGUAAAUCGCUCCGGCUUUUGAUCUUUUGCGGCCCAAAACUGCCUGCUGGACGGAGGUCUUUGUAUAAAAAAGAGCUCGGCUCAGCCGUAAGGCUCGGUCUAGCAAGUGUGAUGCAGGGUGUGCACUUUGCAAAAAGUUCACGUUCUGUUGAUUCAUGCUUGUUUUAGGCUGGCUUUACUGAGUUCUCUUGAUCCAGAGUAAAUGCUCUCAUCAGACCCGUCUUGAAACACGGACCAAGGAGUCUAACAUGUAUGCGAGUCGUAGGGUGGAAAACCUGAAGGCGCAAUGAAAGUGAAGGCAGACUCGGUCUGCUGAGGUGGGAACCCGCCCUCUUUGCGGAGGAAAGGUGCACCAUCAACCGAUCAUGAUCCUCGGUGAUUGAUUUGAGUGUAAGCAUAUCUGUUGGUACCCGAAAGAUGGUGAACUAUGCCUGUAUAGGGUGAAGCCAGUGGAAACUCUGGUGGAGGCUCGUAGCGAUACUGACGUGCAAAUCGUUCGUCAAAUAUGGGUAUAGGGGCGAAAGACUAAUCGAACCAUCUAGUAGCUGGUUCCCUC